GACAGAGGGUGCAAACGUUGUUCGGAAUUACUGGGCGUAAAGGCGCGUGUAGGCUGCUUGGCAAGUCGGAUGUGAAAGCCCUGGGCUCAACCCAUGGAAGUGCAUUCGAAACUGCCGAGCUGGAGUCCGUGGAGAGGAAGGCGGAAUUCUCGGUGUAGAGGUGAAAUUCGUAGAUAUCGAGAGGAACACCGGUGGCGAAGGCGGCCUUCUGGACAGUGACUGACGCUGAGGAGCGAAAGCGUGGGGAGCGAACAGG
This 256-nucleotide ribosomal RNA is filed under the name uncultured bacterium. RNAcentral's name for it is "partial 16S ribosomal RNA". It matches the Rfam family "Bacterial small subunit ribosomal RNA", at positions 524 to 776 of the family's 1533-position model. The record is from RNAcentral.